This is a long non-coding RNA of Hemicordylus capensis (graceful crag lizard), 1366 nucleotides long. RefSeq lists it as uncharacterized. The record is from RefSeq and is a predicted model, not a curated record. The transcript has 2 exons. Lineage: Eukaryota; Metazoa; Chordata; Lepidosauria; Squamata; Cordylidae.
AGGGGGCGCCAGUGCCAUGCUGCCCCUCAUCCCCUCCACAAUUCGUGGAUAUUUUUUUAACCUGUAACCCCUUCGGGGAGCUUCCUAAGGGCCACGGUGGGGGGGUCUGCAAGGGUCCCCCCUCCCCCCGCCAGUCUCUUAGAUCAUUUCCGCAGCCCAUUCCGGGCUAAUUUUCAGGCCUGUUUGGGCCUACAAAGAUCAGUGUGGUGGCCAUUUUGGAGGUCGCUGCAUAUGCUCAAAAGGCCUCUGCGAGGCCUGGCAAGGCAUAGGACUUCACAGGGACCAUUUGAGCGUGUGCGGCAGCCAUUAAAAAAAAAUUAAAGGCUGCUGAAAACAUAAAUGGCUGGCGCACAUGUUCAAAUGACCUCUGCAAGACUGAUUUUUCCCUGAUCUAGGGAGUCAGAAGAAUGCAAAGUUGUUGGCAAGGGACCCGAGCAUUUAAAAAACAGAUAUAAAUGGCACAAAAAAAUGAAUUUCAUCUGCCUGACCCCCGACCUCUGCUAUUGGAAAGGAAUAAACUGCAAGAGGACGAAGGACAAAGUUAUGGAACAAGGAGAGUGGUCAUGGAUGAACUGCCACAGCUUCACCCGUAUACCUUUACAAAUGGAAAAUACCGCCGCCCCGCCCCCCACGCGCCACACACACAUUUCAUACUGCUGCAACUUAAUCCCAGAGCAUUCAUUGGAUUAAGACAUGGAUAUGUAACAUUUAAGCUUUUCUCUGAUGGACUAGAGCGUCAAUUUUCAGCACCCUGUCAGAUCCCAUUAUACACACUCACCCCAUAUUUGACUCCCAAGGGGAGCUUUUCUGAUGUGUGCUGUUUUCUGAUGGGAAUGGGCUAGAGUGUCAGUUGCCAUCACCCUGGCAGAUUUCACUAUCAAUGUAUGUUUUUUGGAUGAGAGCUUAGUUUUCAGUAUAUGGACAUGUAACAUGUAAACAUGGACGGGCCUUCUCCAUUGCUGCCCUGAGGCUUUGGAAUAUACUUCCUGCUGAAAUAAGAGCUUCCCCAUCUCUUACCACUUUUUAAAAGGCAGUCAAGACACAUUUCUUCACCCAAGCUUUUAAUUAGAUAUUGUUUUAAUUGUGUUUUUAAUAGUUUUAACAUCUUAAAUUUUAAUUGUUGUAAUGUGUUAAUCUUUUUUUCUGUUUAUAUUGUUUUGUUGUAAACCGCCCAGAGACUUGCGUUUGGGGCGGUAUAUAAAUGUUUUAAAUAAAUAAAAGUAAUAACAAACAUGGAACAAACAAAACACAUAAGAUGUAUGUUCCCUUGAGUAUGUUGUAUUCAUGUCCUCCUGUCAUGUUCACACAUGUUUCAGAUGUGUUUCUAAGCCUGUGAAAAUAAACAGAAAUUCAAUAUAGAUAGUAA